AAUAGUUAUGCUAAAAAAUUAUUUAAACGAAAAAGGGUGGAGGCAGACACACGAAAGGAGGAAGAAUGCAUUCAGAACAGGAACCCCUCCCCAAAAAGCAACCGCCACCGCCUCUGCUCCCAGUUCCCUGCUUCCGAGUCCCAUUCAACCAGCAAACUCCAGCCAUCCUUAUCCUACUCUCCCCCAAACGACUCCACCACCACCGCCACACCACACCCAUGGGAUCUGAAGGAAACUCGAAAGAAAAAGAGAGGGAGGGCAAGCAAAAGAAAGCACGUAGAGAGCAACUGAGACAGAGAGAUAGAAAGUGGAUGUGGAAGUGGAAGAUACUAAAUCAAUAAGUAAAACAUAAAAAAGUAAUUAAUAAAUUAAUUCCCCAACAAAAGAGAAAAGAUACGAAAGCAAAAGAGAACAAAAAGCAAAAACCGAAAAACAAUAAAAAACAAAAGACGAAAC
This 456-nucleotide long non-coding RNA is filed under the name Drosophila guanche. Lineage: Eukaryota; Metazoa; Arthropoda; Insecta; Diptera; Drosophilidae. The record is from RNAcentral.